UGGGGUUGAAUCACCAGAAAAACUUUGCACAGAUGUACAAAUAUGGCAAUAUGGAGGAUGCUAUUGGGGUUGAGAUGAACCAAUUGCAGCUAGUAGUAUUCCAAGGGACCCCAGAAGAAAUCAGAAGUGGGCACAGCAAAACCCCGCUCAACAAAAAGCCCGAAGGUUACCGUCUCAUCUGGGUGUGUCUCCAAAGGCCAUGGAUUCCCGUGGGCGCACCUCCAGCCUACAAUGGCCUUGUUUUUCA
This 247-nucleotide long non-coding RNA is filed under the name Setaria viridis. RNAcentral describes it as "long non-coding RNA (SVIR_LNC010517)". The record is from RNAcentral. Lineage: Eukaryota; Viridiplantae; Streptophyta; Magnoliopsida; Poales; Poaceae.